Molecule: ribosomal RNA, 253 nt
Filed under: uncultured bacterium
Lineage: Bacteria
Description: partial 16S ribosomal RNA
Rfam family: Bacterial small subunit ribosomal RNA
Source: RNAcentral
GACGUAGGGUGCGAGCGUUGUCCGGAUUUAUUGGGCGUAAAGAGCUCGUAGGCGGUUUGUUGCGUCGGCUGUGAAAUCCCGAGGCUCAACCUCGGGUCUGCAGUCGAUACGAGCAAACUAGAGUGUUGCAGGGGAGACUGGAAUUCCUGGUGUAGCGGUGAAAUGCGCAGAUAUCAGGAGGAACACCGGUGGCGAAGGCGGGUCUCUGGGCAACAACUGACGCUGAGGAGCGAAAGCGUGGGGAGCGAACAGG